RNAcentral lists this ribosomal RNA (459 nucleotides) under uncultured bacterium. Its description in RNAcentral is "partial 16S ribosomal RNA". It matches the Rfam family "Bacterial small subunit ribosomal RNA", at positions 338 to 795 of the family's 1533-position model. The record is from RNAcentral.
CCUACGGAGGAAGCAGUGAGGAAGAGUGGUCAAGGGACGAGAGUCAGAACCAGCCAAGUAGAGUGAAGGAGGACGGCCCUAUGGGUUGUAAACUUCUUUUAUAUGGGAAUAAAAUGUUCCACGUGUGGGAUUUUGUAUGUACCAUAUGAAUAAGGAUCGGCUAACUCCGUGCCAGCAGCCGCGGUAAUACGGAGGAUCCGAGCGUUAUCCGGAUUUAUUUGGUUUAAAGGGAGCGUAGGUGGAUUGUUAAGUCAGUUGUGAAAGUUUGCGGCUCAACCGUAAAAUUGCAGUUGAAACUGGCAGUCUUGAGUACAGUAGAGGUGGGCGGAAUUCGUGGUGUAGCGGUGAAAUGCUUAGACAUCACGAAGAACUCCGAUUGCGAAGGCAGCUCACUGGACUGCAACUGACACUGAGGCUCGAAAGUGUGGGUAUCAAACAGGAUUAGAUACCCCUGUAGUC